RNAcentral lists this ribosomal RNA (773 nucleotides) under uncultured bacterium. Its description in RNAcentral is "bacterial SSU rRNA". It matches the Rfam family "Bacterial small subunit ribosomal RNA", at positions 56 to 845 of the family's 1533-position model. The record is from RNAcentral.
UGCAAGUCGAGCGGUAAGGCCUUUCGGGGUACACGAGCGGCGAACGGGUGAGUAACACGUGGGUGAUCUGCCCUGCACUUCGGGAUAAGCCUGGGAAACUGGGUCUAAUACCGGAUAUGACCUCCUAUCGCAUGGUGGGUGGUGGAAAGAUUUAUCGGUGCAGGAUGGGCCCGCGGCCUAUCAGCUUGUUGGUGGGGUAAUGGCCUACCAAGGCGACGACGGGUAGCCGACCUGAGAGGGUGACCGGCCACACUGGGACUGAGACACGGCCCAGACUCCUACGGGAGGCAGCAGUGGGGAAUAUUGCACAAUGGGCGAAAGCCUGAUGCAGCGACGCCGCGUGAGGGAUGACGGCCUUCGGGUUGUAAACCUCUUUCAGCAGGGACGAAGCGCAAGUGACGGUACCUGCAGAAGAAGCACCGGCUAACUACGUGCCAGCAGCCGCGGUAAUACGUAGGGUGCAAGCGUUGUCCGGAAUUACUGGGCGUAAAGAGUUCGUAGGCGGUUUGUCGCGUCGUUUGUGAAAACCAGCAGCUCAACUGCUGGCUUGCAGGCGAUACGGGCAGACUUGAGUACUGCAGGGGAGACUGGAAUUCCUGGUGUAGCGGUGAAAUGCGCAGAUAUCAGGAGGAACACCGGUGGCGAAGGCGGGUCUCUGGGCAGUAACUGACGCUGAGGAACGAAAGCGUGGGUAGCGAACAGGAUUAGAUACCCUGGUAGUCCACGCCGUAAACGGUGGGCGCUAGGUGUGGGUUCCUUCCACGGAAUCCGUG